RNAcentral lists this ribosomal RNA (433 nucleotides) under uncultured bacterium. Its description in RNAcentral is "partial 16S ribosomal RNA". It matches the Rfam family "Bacterial small subunit ribosomal RNA", at positions 29 to 507 of the family's 1533-position model. The record is from RNAcentral.
AACGAACGCUGGCGGCAUGCCUAACACAUGCAAGUCGAACGAGACCUUCGGGUCUAGUGGCGCACGGGUGCGUAACGCGUGGGAACCUGCCCUUAGGUUCGGAAUAACUCCCCGAAAGGGGUGCUAAUACCGGAUAAUGUCUUCGGACCAAAGAUUUAUCGCCUUUGGAUGGGCCCGCGUUGGAUUAGCUAGUUGGUAGGGUAAAAGCCUACCAAGGCGACGAUCCAUAGCUGGUCUGAGAGGAUGAUCAGCCACACUGGGGCUGAGACACGGCCCAGACUCCUACGGGAGGCAGCAGUGGGGAAUAUUGGACAAUGGGCGAAAGCCUGAUCCAGCGAUGCCGCGUGAGUGAUGAAGGCCUUAGGGUUGUAAAGCUCUUUUAACCGGGAUGAUAAUGACAGUACCGAGAGAAUAAGCUCCGGCUAACUCCGUG